RNAcentral lists this ribosomal RNA (663 nucleotides) under uncultured bacterium. RNAcentral describes it as "bacterial SSU rRNA". It matches the Rfam family "Bacterial small subunit ribosomal RNA", at positions 173 to 827 of the family's 1533-position model. The record is from RNAcentral.
CCAUAGUUACCGCAUGGUAACUAUGUAAAAGGUGGCUAUACUACCGCUUUUGGAUGGGCCCGCGGCGCAUUAGCUAGUUGGUAGGGUAAAGGCUUACCAAGGCAAUGAUGCGUAGCCGAAUUGAGAGGUUGAUCGGCCACAUUGGGACUGAGACACGGCCCAAACUCCUACGGGAGGCAGCAGUAGGGAAUCUUCCACAAUGGGCGAAAGCCUGAUGGAGCAACGCCGCGUGGGUGAAGAAGGUCUUCGGAUCGUAAAACCCUGUUGUUAGAGAAGAAAGUGCGUGAGAGUAACUGUUCACGUUUCGACGGUAUCUAACCAGAAAGCCACGGCUAACUACGUGCCAGCAGCCGCGGUAAUACGUAGGUGGCAAGCGUUAUCCGGAUUUAUUGGGCGUAAAGGGAACGCAGGCGGUCUUUUAAGUCUGAUGUGAAAGCCUUCGGCUUAACCGGAGUAGUGCAUUGGAAACUGGGAGACUUGAGUGCAGAAGAGGAGAGUGGAACUCCAUGUGUAGCGGUGAAAUGCGUAGAUAUAUGGAAGAACACCAGUGGCGAAAGCGGCUCUCUGGUCUGUAACUGACGCUGAGGUUCGAAAGCGUGGGUAGCAAACAGGAUUAGAUACCCUGGUAGUCCACGCCGUAAACGAUGAAUGAUAGGUGUUGGA